GGGCGGUGUAUCGGGAGCUACCGCGGAAGUCAGGUGCCUGCGGGCGGGCAGCGUGAAAUUAAACGCGGAGAGAACAGUGAGGGGCGCGGCAGUGGGCUGCGAUGGAGGCUGAGGCCCGUACUCUGAGGAGGUGAAUCCAGCCGCGGCUCUAUGUCUCUAACCGGCAGGACGGUCUGGUGGUGGGUCCGGCUGCGCCGGCCCUGCCUUACGGCCGCCCCUCGGGGCCCUGCGGUCUGGCUGCCCACGGGGCUUGCGGCCUGCCAGCGGUUCUACAGCUCCCGCGACAAGGAAAAAAUAGAUAUGUCAGCAUAUCCUGUUGAAAGCAUAAGAAACUUCAGUAUUAUAGCUCAUGUAGAUCAUGGCAAAAGUACACUAGCAGAUAGAUUGUUGGAAAUUACAGGAACAAUUGCUAAAACUGACCGUAACAAACAAGUGCUGGAUAAACUGCAAGUGGAACGUGAAAGGGGAAUUACAGUUAAAGCACAAUCUGCAUCUCUCUUUUACAAUUACAAAGGAGUAAACUACCUCUUAAAUCUUAUUGACACACCAGGCCACGUUGAUUUCAACUAUGAAGUUUCACGGUCACUAUCUGCCUGCCAAGGUGUCCUACUUGUAGUAGAUGCAAAUGAGGGUAUUCAGGCUCAGACAGUGGCAAACUUCUAUCUUGCUUUUGAAGCACAACUUGCGAUAAUUCCUGUCAUAAACAAGAUUGACUUAAAGAAUGCAGACCCUGAAAGAGUUGAAAAACAAAUUGAGAAGCUGUUUGAUAUCCCUGUUAAUGAAUGUAUAAGGAUUUCUGCUAAACAAGGGACAAAUAUUGAUAAAGUUCUUGAAAAGGUCAUUGAGAAGAUUCCACCACCUCAAUGUAAUACUACUGAUCCCUUGAAAGCCUUAGUAUUCGACUCUACCUUCGACCACUACCGAGGUGUCGUAGCUAACAUUGCAGUUUUUGGUGGGGAGAUUCAGAAAGGGCAUAGAAUUGUCUCUGCGCAUACAAAUAAAAGAUAUGAAGUUAAUGAAGUAGGAAUUCUGACUCCGAAUGAACAGCCAACACAUAAACUAUAUGCUGGACAGGUGGGCUACCUGAUUGCUGGAAUGAAAGAAGUAACAGAAGCCCAAAUAGGAGACACGCUGUUCAUGUAUAAACAGCCGGUGGAACCUUUGCCUGGCUUUAAGUCAGCAAAGCCAAUGGUUUUUGCAGGAAUGUAUCCUGUAGAUCAAACAGAAUAUAAUAAUCUUAAAAGUGCUUUGGAAAGGCUGACAUUGAACGAUUCCAGUGUGACUGUUCAUCGUGACAGUAGCCUUGCUUUAGGAGCUGGAUGGAGGUUGGGUUUUCUUGGUCUUUUGCAUAUGGAAGUUUUUAAUCAACGUUUGGAACAAGAAUAUAACACAUCUGUUAUUUUGACUGCACCUACUGUUCCAUAUAAAGCUGUUCUUUCCUCAGCAAAGUUGAUAAAGGAGCAUGGUAAAUCAGAGAUUACUAUUAUCAACCCUGCUCAAUUUCCUGAUAAACAUUCAGUGUCUGAAUAUUUGGAGCCAACUGUUCUUGGCACUAUUAUAACACCUCAGGAAUAUAUUGGGAAAAUAAUUGUUUUGUGUCAGGAUCGUAGGGCAGUCCAGAAAGAAAUGUUGUACAUUGAUGAACAUAGGGUUAUGCUAAAAUACCUUUUCCCACUGAAUGAAAUCGUGGUGGAUUUUUAUGAUGCUCUUAAGUCCCUGUCUUCUGGCUAUGCAAGUUUUGAUUAUGAAGAUGCAGGCUACCAGGCAGCAGAUCUUAUCAAAAUGGAUAUUCUUAUAAAUGGAAAUCCAGUUGAAGAACUGUCAACUAUCAUACACAAUGAUAAAGCAUAUGCUACUGGCAAAUACCUGUGUGAGCGGUUAAAAGAUGCUAUACCAAGACAGCUGUUUGAAAUAGCCAUCCAGGCUGCUAUUGGCAAGAAAAUAAUCGCCAGGGAAACAUUGAAAGCUUACAGGAAAAAUGUUGUGGCAAAAUGUUAUGGUGGAGACAUUACAAGAAGAAUGAAGCUUUUAAAAAGGCAAGCAGAAGGGAAGAAGCUGAUGAGAAAAAUUGGCAAUGUGGAAGUACCAAGAGAUGCCUUCAUACGUGUUUUAAAGAGACAGCCUGAGAAAUAAGUUAGUGACAUGCAGCAGAUCAUUGUCUUAACUUCUUAGAGACAGUUUUCAUCAGGAAAUAAUGAUGUUGGGAAAUCACAGCAGGAAAAACAAAUUACGCAUUUCUCAGGAAGCAAAACUGAUUCAAGUCUUUCAUGCUGAAUUUAUAUUGACAUGCUAAAAGCUGUUGGUAAGUUCUUUGAAACUGCAGUGAAAAAUCUACACAGUUUACUUUAGGAAAAGUUUAUCAUCCUAUUAUAGUAAUAGUGACACAAAAGGAUACUCUUAUCUUUAAAUCUGUAAGUGCCAAAAUUUAAAUGACCUAGUAUAUGAAGCUAUUCUUACCCAGAUUUCACUGGCCAAGACUUAGGCUAGAAUAUAUAGUUAUGUAAUACUUGGCUACUCAUGUAGUUAUCUGAAAAGACAAGAGAGUAUAGGCUGUUCAGAGCAAACUACAUUUGGGUUUUACAUAUUGACACACAAGAAAUUAUCCUAUCAAAAUAAGAAAUUAAACUAGCUGUCUGUUCCAACAGAAUUCUGUACUUUGUGCUGUGUUAAGUCUAUACCUACUUUAAACAAAUAUUUCAGUUAACUUUUUGAAAGUGGCAAAAUUUGUUUUUAUCAUUUAAGGCAGCAAAUACCCUUAACUACAGUAUGUAUGUUAUAAACUAGUAAAGAAUACUCUUCAGUAAGCAUGUUAGAGGCCACCACUUCUUAAAGCACAAAACUAUGCAGCAAAACAAGAACAACUUAUUAACAUUUAAAUUGAAGAAUUUAGUUUAAGUUAGGCUCAGUCAGUGGAUCACAAAAAUAAUAAAAGCCACAGAUGGUUCUUAGUCUCUUCCUUCAAUGAAGAUGACAAAAUACUGAACCUCUCCCCUCCACAUCAGAAACAAAACAAUUUGGAAACGAUACAUUUAAGUUUUACUUACUCAAAGGAGGAAAUAACAUUCCUUGUGACAGUUCAAUAUUUAUAGUGAUACAGUAAGAGGUAAUUAUUACAGAGUGGUUAACAGCAGGCUUUAAUACAUGAUCAUUUAAAUCUGUAGACUUCAUGUUCCUAUAAAUUAACUUAUUUGUAGGCAUUUAAUGACACCAUCCAAUACAAUUAAACAUAUCCAGAAAGGAACAUUUAGAUUUUUCCUUAUAUAUAAAGCACAAUUACUAAAAAUAUAAAAACCCUAAAGUAAUUUGAAAUACAUGAGAGGAAGAAGUGCUAUGGCAGACAUUUAAUGUAAGUAACCAGAGUAAGUUAUAACACUUGCAAGAACUGGGUGCAUUUUUAGGCACUGUUUUUGUAUCUUUAUUUGCCUGAAUUGUACAGCAGGACUUGAGAUGCCCAAAAACUGUUUGUAUAAGAUAAAUUUAAGGCAAUCAAGUGCAAAAGCUCAGUGUGCAUUAUGUAAACAGAACAUUUCAUAGUAGAAAUUGUACAGCUAUUACAAGUCCAUAGUAUUUAACAAAGGCCAAAACCAUUCUGCCUAGAAAUACAAAUGCAAAGUGUAGUUGCACUAAUGGAGGCCACAAUUACAGAUUAUUGGAAAUAAUCUAUCACUUCCUCUAACAGGCAGAUGCAGUGCAUUGCUGUGCUAAAAUAAGUGCUCUGUCCCACCCCCCUCCACCCCUAUAUAACAUGCAGCCUCCCACAGGCUUGUUCUGUUCCAUUUAGUUACUGUAACAGCCAGAGGUCUAAAUAUUAAAGCAAAAUGCACAACACCAAAUAGAGAUGGAAUGUGAAUGUACAUAUAUUGGACCUUUUAAAAAAAAAUACAGUACCUAGGAUUUCCCAUUUUAAACAGUUUUCAGUAUAUUGCAUAGCAGUGAACUCAUCUGCUACCUAAAACUGUUGCUGUUGACCUACAUGCAGUUCCUCUUCAAUUCUUCUUUCAGUUUUCUUUCAUACUGUACAGUGGGUCCACGAGUUUAUUGUGCACAUGCAUUAAACCUUGAGGGGAAAGCAACAAUGCCAGCUUUACAUAAUUUUUAAGAUACUUUUUCCAACAUGUCUUCCUAUCCAUACCUUUGGAGCUAACUUCAAAGUAUACAUUUUAAACAGUUCACUGAAAAGUAGUUUAAAAGCAAAAGUAAUUAAGACAAUAUAUGCUAAUUAUGUAUUUUUUCCUGUAUCACUUAAAUAUUAUUGCCAUCUUCAGUAUAAACUAAAGAAAUGAGACAGCAAUGACCACAGACCAGUUAAAAAGAUCUGGAAUACUUUCAUAUCAAUUAAACACCUGAUGAGAGAUACAUCUCUCUCUUUUUUAUUAAUAAAUGCUUAACAGCAACACAUACAAGAAUUUGUUGUAACAAUCAGAUUCACACAUACUAAUAGUUUUACAGCUUGAGUUACAAUAUUCUAGCACUGUGGUAUCUUGGUAACUAAGUGUCCUUCUGGUCCUAGACAAACAAAACCAAGCACAGAGACUGUUAAUGAAUAUAUAGAACUGGAGUAGUUCAACUAUUUCCUAUUCUAACAGGUUGGGUUUCUUUUGAUCAUACACAAAUCAUCCAUAGGUGUGACUUGGAGGUUUUGUGUGUUCCCCCCUCCCCUCCUCAGAAAAUGUUGGGAAGUGCUGGGAAGAUCCAUUAAAAGCAGCCAUGUUGUUUACUUUGUUACAACUUCGUAAAACAUUACCUACAAAGUAUUACCAAUGCAUGGCAUUCAGUCACUGGUACAUUUUUAACCUUAUUUAACCUUACAGACUGGUAACAAUAUCUGGUCAACAUUCUCAAUCUGUAAAGUGCCUAGUUUAGAACCAUACUGAAGAUUUGCUUCAACUACUACAAAUAGGCAACAUUAAAAGCAGAGAUCCUUAAAAUCCAUAAAAGAAAUUUGACAGUAAGUGUACAUUUUAAUAGUCAUCUGCUGGAAAGAAUAUAUGAAUACCCUUGCUAUAUCAUGUGUCUGGCAGCAAACAUUGCAUCCCUACAAACUAACCUCACAGUCUGAAUCAUUAAGUAUUUUCAUUUCUGGUGUAUUUCACAAAUCUACUAUUCUUUUCUCCACUAGGUGGACCAUACAGCCAUACUAGAAAGCCAACACAUCUAAAACAGACUGAAGAACCCAGCUUUUUGUUUCUGGAGUUUUUCAAAUCUUUUCAAAGCGCUUUACAGAGAAACAACUCUGUGCUACAAGAGAACUACAUUCAAGCAUUACCAGAAGUAUAAUCAGCAAACACAGUAUUUUAAAUAUGGCAUUUGUUAUCAAUGAUGUAAACACAGUUCCAGGUUUAGUCAGUUGUUAGCCUUUGAAUAAAACUUGCCUGUCGGUA
Molecule: RNA transcript, 5381 nt
Organism: Gallus gallus (chicken)
Lineage: Eukaryota; Metazoa; Chordata; Aves; Galliformes; Phasianidae
Gene: GUF1
Gene name: GUF1 homolog, GTPase
Exons: 19
Source: RefSeq, a predicted model, not a curated record